Sinocyclocheilus grahami is the source of this 90-nucleotide long non-coding RNA. RefSeq lists it as uncharacterized. The record is from RefSeq and is a predicted model, not a curated record. The transcript has 4 exons. Lineage: Eukaryota; Metazoa; Chordata; Actinopteri; Cypriniformes; Cyprinidae.
GGGAUGUCUUCGGUUCACUUAGUUUUGUUGUGGCCACGACAUAUUAACUCAUUGGAACGUGAUAAUAUGACAUGAUGUAAAGUCGUGGCC